Molecule: long non-coding RNA, 644 nt
Filed under: Ananas comosus (pineapple)
Lineage: Eukaryota; Viridiplantae; Streptophyta; Magnoliopsida; Poales; Bromeliaceae
Description: long non-coding RNA (ACOM_LNC008984)
Source: RNAcentral
UGGGUGGUGACCUUCCCGAAGCCGCGGGGCUACGUUCUAUGUCCAAGUUUAUUAUUGAUCUAAUUGCAUCUUAUACAUGUUGCAUAUAGGGUUAGAAGAUGAUUGUUAUUGCUUAUAUUUGCAUGCUAGUAGCUAUAUGUUUAGUUGAUUGAUCCAUGAUCUAGUAUGCAUGAAAACUACAUGAUGAAAACCUAGACCCUAUAUGUGAUGGUUAAUGUUUAUGAGAUUAAAGAACUAGUAUGAUGUAACUAGUGUUGAAAAUGAGUCUAAAUGACGAGUGGCAUCUAGUUUAGAAAACUAUGACAAGUGGCAUCUAGUUUUAGAAAACUAUGAUGAGUGGCAUAUGAUUGUUGAUGACCUUGAUAUGAGAACAUUAGUGUAGUUGAGACACUAUGAGAUUGGGUACAAGAACACCUUGAUUCCAUGAUGAGAUUACCCUUAGAGGGUAGGUUGCUGUUGUUCGUGAGUUGAUCGUGCUCACAUAGCCUGUCUGCGCUUGGAGGGGUCGCUCCCCGCAAGCUGUGCACUCCGGAGGUUGGUCACUAGAGGGACAGUCAGUGUGCUGUCUGGACGGUCUGUGUGCUGUCCGCAGGCGGUCUCGGGAGUAGUUCAGUGAGACUUUCCCUAUGAGACUUACACGUGAG